RNAcentral lists this ribosomal RNA (443 nucleotides) under uncultured bacterium. RNAcentral describes it as "partial 16S ribosomal RNA". It matches the Rfam family "Bacterial small subunit ribosomal RNA", at positions 338 to 795 of the family's 1533-position model. The record is from RNAcentral.
CCUACGGGAGGCAGCAGUGGGGAAUAUUGGGCAAUGGGCGCAAGCCUGACCCAGCAACGCCGCGUGAAGGAAGAAGGCCUUCGGGUUGUAAACUUCUUUUGUCAGGGACGAAGCAAGUGACGGUACCUGACGAAUAAGUCACGGCUAACUACGGGCCAGCAGCCGCGGUAAUACGUAGGUGGCAAGCGUUAUCCGGAUUUAUUGGGUGUAAAGGGCGUGUAGGUGGGAUGGGAAGUCAGAUGUGAAAAGUAUGGGCUCAACCCAUAGACUGCAUUUGAAACUGUAUUUCUUGAGUGCUGGAGAGGCAAGCGGAAUUCCGGGUGUAGCGGUGAAAUGCGUAGAUAUACGGAAGAACACCAGUGGCGAAGGCGGAUUGCUGGACUGUAACUGACGCUGAGGCGCGAAAGCGUGGGGAGCAAACAGGAUUAGAUACCCUUGUAGUC